This 253-nucleotide ribosomal RNA is filed under the name uncultured bacterium. RNAcentral describes it as "partial 16S ribosomal RNA". It matches the Rfam family "Bacterial small subunit ribosomal RNA", at positions 524 to 776 of the family's 1533-position model. The record is from RNAcentral.
GACAGAGGGUGCAAACGUUGUUCGGAAUUACUGGGCGUAAAGCGCAUGUAGGCGGCUAAGUAAGUCGGGCGUGAAAUCCCACGGCUCAACCGUGGAAGUGCACUCGAAACUGCGUAGCUAGAGUCCUGGAGAGGAAGGUGGAAUGCUUGGUGUAGAGGUGAAAUUCGUAGAUAUCAAGCGGAACACCGGUGGCGAAGGCGGCCUUCUGGACAGUGACUGACGCUGAGACGCGAAAGCGUGGGGAGCAAACAGG